Molecule: ribosomal RNA, 534 nt
Filed under: Ponerobia bipustulata
Lineage: Eukaryota; Metazoa; Arthropoda; Insecta; Hemiptera; Reduviidae
Description: partial 16S ribosomal RNA
Rfam family: Bacterial large subunit ribosomal RNA
Source: RNAcentral
UUCAAAAACAUGUCCUUUUGUUUAUUUUAUAUAAGGUCUGACCUGCCCACUGAUUAUUUUAAAUGGCCGCGGUAUUCUAACUGUGCUAAGGUAGCAUAAUCAUUUGUCUUUUAAUUGAAGGCUGGUAUGAAUGGUUGGACGAAGUAAAUUCUUUCUUUAACUUAAUUUGUGAAUUUAAUUUUUUGGUUAAAAAGCCAAGAUUUUUUUGUUAGACGAGAAGACCCUAUAGAUCUUGAUAUUGUAAUGGUUUUUUAAUUUGGGUUAUGAUUUAUUAUGAUUUUAAAAGUAUUUGGUUGGGGUGAUUUUGGAAUUUUAUUAACUUCCAAUUUUUAAUUUUCACUUAUUUGUGUAUAUUUGAUCUUUUAUUAAUGAUUAUAAGUUUAAGUUACCUUAGGGAUAACAGCGUAAUUUCUUUGGAGAGUUCAUAUCGAUAAAGAAGUUUGCGACCUCGAUGUUGGAUUAAAAUUAGUAAUUGAUGUAGAAGUCUUUUAACUGGGUCUGUUCGACCUUUAAUUUUUUACAUGAUCUGAGUUA